GAUGAAGAACGUAGCGAAAUGCGAUACGUAAUGUGAAUUGCAGAAUUCAGUGAAUCAUCGAGUCUUUGAACGCACAUUGCGCCCCCUGGUAUUCCGGGGGGCAUGCCUGUCCGAGCGUCAUUGCAGCCCUCAAGCACGGCUUGUGUGUUGGGCCUCCGUCCUCCUCCCGGGGGACGGGCCCGAAAGGCAGCGGCGGCACCGCGUCCGGUCCUCGAGCGUAUGGGGCUUCGUCACCCGCUCUUGUAGGCCCGGCCGGCGCUUGCCGACACAUCAAUCUUUUUUCCAGGUUGACCUCGGAUCAGGUAGGGAUACCCGCUGAACUUAAGCAUAUCAAUAAGCGGAGGA
Molecule: unclassified non-coding RNA, 345 nt
Filed under: soil metagenome
Description: partial contains 5.8S ribosomal RNA, internal transcribed spacer 2, and large subunit ribosomal RNA
Rfam family: 5.8S ribosomal RNA (bases 1-120)
Source: RNAcentral